GGUUAAGCGACUAAGCGUACACGGUGGAUGCCCUGGCAGUCAGAGGCGAUGAAGGACGUGCUAAUCUGCGAUAAGCGUCGGUGAGGUGAUAUGAACCGUUAUAACCGGCGAUUUCCGAAUGGGGAAACCCAGUGUGUUUCGACACACUAUCAUUAACUGAAUCCAUAGGUUAAUGAGGCGAACCGGGGGAACUGAAACAUCUAAGUACCCCGAGGAAAAGAAAUCAACCGAGAUUCCCCCAGUAGCGGCGAGCGAACGGGGAGGAGCCCAGAGCCUGAAUCAGUGUGUGUGUUAGUGGAAGCGUCUGGAAAGGCGCGCGAUACAGGGUGACAGCCCCGUACACAAAAAUGCACAUAUUGUGAGCUCGAUGAGUAGGGCGGGACACGUGGUAUCCUGUCUGAAUAUGGGGGACCAUCCUCCAAGGCUAAAUACUCCUGACUGACCGAUAGUGAACCAGUACCGUGAGGGAAAGGCGAAAAGAACCCCGGCGAGGGGAGUGAAAAAGAACCUGAAACCGUGUACGUACAAGCAGUGGGAGCCUCUUAAUGGGGUGACUGCGUACCUUUUGUAUAAUGGGUCAGCGACUUAUAUUCUGUAGCAAGGUUAACCGAAUAGGGGAGCCGAAGGGAAACCGAGUCUUAACUGGGCGUUAAGUUGCAGGGUAUAGACCCGAAACCCGGUGAUCUAGCCAUGGGCAGGUUGAAGGUUGGGUAACACUAACUGGAGGACCGAACCGACUAAUGUUGAAAAAUUAGCGGAUGACUUGUGGCUGGGGGUGAAAGGCCAAUCAAACCGGGAGAUAGCUGGUUCUCCCCGAAAGCUAUUUAGGUAGCGCCUCGUGAAUUCAUCUCCGGGGGUAGAGCACUGUUUCGGCAAGGGGGUCAUCCCGACUUACCAACCCGAUGCAAACUGCGAAUACCGGAGAAUGUUAUCACGGGAGACACACGGCGGGUGCUAACGUCCGUCGUGAAGAGGGAAACAACCCAGACCGCCAGCUAAGGUCCCAAAGUCAUGGUUAAGUGGGAAACGAUGUGGGAAGGCCCAGACAGCCAGGAUGUUGGCUUAGAAGCAGCCAUCAUUUAAAGAAAGCGUAAUAGCUCACUGGUCGAGUCGGCCUGCGCGGAAGAUGUAACGGGGCUAAACCAUGCACCGAAGCUGCGGCAGCGACGCUUAUGCGUUGUUGGGUAGGGGAGCGUUCUGUAAGCCUGUGAAGGUGUGCUGUGAGGCAUGCUGGAGGUAUCAGAAGUGCGAAUGCUGACAUAAGUAACGAUAAAGCGGGUGAAAAGCCCGCUCGCCGGAAGACCAAGGGUUCCUGUCCAACGUUAAUCGGGGCAGGGUGAGUCGACCCCUAAGGCGAGGCCGAAAGGCGUAGUCGAUGGGAAACAGGUUAAUAUUCCUGUACUUGGUGUUACUGCGAAGGGGGGACGGAGAAGGCUAUGUUGGCCGGGCGACGGUUGUCCCGGUUUAAGCGUGUAGGCUGGUUUUCCAGGCAAAUCCGGAAAACCAAGGCUGAGGCGUGAUGACGAGGCACUACGGUGCUGAAGCAACAAAUGCCCUGCUUCCAGGAAAAGCCUCUAAGCAUCAGGUAACAUCAAAUCGUACCCCAAACCGACACAGGUGGUCAGGUAGAGAAUACCAAGGCGCUUGAGAGAACUCGGGUGAAGGAACUAGGCAAAAUGGUGCCGUAACUUCGGGAGAAGGCACGCUGAUAUGUAGGUGAAGCGACUUGCUCGUGGAGCUGAAAUCAGUCGAAGAUACCAGCUGGCUGCAACUGUUUAUUAAAAACACAGCACUGUGCAAACACGAAAGUGGACGUAUACGGUGUGACGCCUGCCCGGUGCCGGAAGGUUAAUUGAUGGGGUUAGCGGUAACGCGAAGCUCUUGAUCGAAGCCCCGGUAAACGGCGGCCGUAACUAUAACGGUCCUAAGGUAGCGAAAUUCCUUGUCGGGUAAGUUCCGACCUGCACGAAUGGCGUAAUGAUGGCCAGGCUGUCUCCACCCGAGACUCAGUGAAAUUGAACUCGCUGUGAAGAUGCAGUGUACCCGCGGCAAGACGGAAAGACCCCGUGAACCUUUACUAUAGCUUGACACUGAACAUUGAGCCUUGAUGUGUAGGAUAGGUGGGAGGCUUUGAAGUGUGGACGCCAGUCUGCAUGGAGCCGACCUUGAAAUACCACCCUUUAAUGUUUGAUGUUCUAACGUUGGCCCGUAAUCCGGGUUGCGGACAGUGUCUGGUGGGUAGUUUGACUGGGGCGGUCUCCUCCUAAAGAGUAACGGAGGAGCACGAAGGUUGGCUAAUCCUGGUCGGACAUCAGGAGGUUAGUGCAAUGGCAUAAGCCAGCUUGACUGCGAGCGUGACGGCGCGAGCAGGUGCGAAAGCAGGUCAUAGUGAUCCGGUGGUUCUGAAUGGAAGGGCCAUCGCUCAACGGAUAAAAGGUACUCCGGGGAUAACAGGCUGAUACCGCCCAAGAGUUCAUAUCGACGGCGGUGUUUGGCACCUCGAUGUCGGCUCAUCACAUCCUGGGGCUGAAGUAGGUCCCAAGGGUAUGGCUGUUCGCCAUUUAAAGUGGUACGCGAGCUGGGUUUAGAACGUCGUGAGACAGUUCGGUCCCUAUCUGCCGUGGGCGCUGGAGAACUGAGGGGGGCUGCUCCUAGUACGAGAGGACCGGAGUGGACGCAUCACUGGUGUUCGGGUUGUCAUGCCAAUGGCACUGCCCGGUAGCUAAAUGCGGAAGAGAUAAGUGCUGAAAGCAUCUAAGCACGAAACUUGCCCCGAGAUGAGUUCUCCCUGAGACUUAGAGUCUCCUGAAGGAACGUUGAAGACGACGACGUUGAUAGGCCGGGUGUGUAAGCGCAGCGAUGCGUUGAGCUAACCGGUACUAAUGAACCGUGAGGCUUAACCUU
RNAcentral lists this ribosomal RNA (2904 nucleotides) under Escherichia coli. RNAcentral's name for it is "23S ribosomal RNA". It matches the Rfam family "Bacterial large subunit ribosomal RNA". The record is from RNAcentral. Lineage: Bacteria; Pseudomonadati; Pseudomonadota; Gammaproteobacteria; Enterobacterales; Enterobacteriaceae.